GCUAAGUGGGGGGCGGGUGCCGAGGGAAUGCUGAGGUGGCGAUCGUGUUGUGGAAUUACUGGGCGUAAAGGGCGCGUAGGGGGCCAGCUAAGUCAGACGUGAAAUCCCCCGGCGUAACCUGGGAACUGCGGCUGAUACUGGACGGCUUGAGUAUGGGAGAGGGAUGUAGAAUUCCAGGUGUAGCGGUGAAAUGCGUAGAUAUCUGGAGGAAUACCGGUGGCGAAGGCGGCAUCCUGGACCAUUACUGACGCUGAUGCGCGAAAGCUAGGGGAGCAAACGGGAUUAGAUACCCUAGUAGUC
Molecule: ribosomal RNA, 300 nt
Filed under: uncultured Bacillus sp.
Lineage: Bacteria; Bacillati; Bacillota; Bacilli; Caryophanales; Bacillaceae
Description: bacterial SSU rRNA
Rfam family: Bacterial small subunit ribosomal RNA
Source: RNAcentral